AGUCGAGCGAGUCUGCCUUGAAGAUCGGAGUGCUUGCACUCUGUGAAACAAGAUACAGGCUAGCGGCGGACGGGUGAGUAACACGUGGGUAACCUGCCCAAGAGAUCGGGAUAACACCUGGAAACAGAUGCUAAUACCGGAUAACAACAGAUGAUGCCUAUCAACUGUUUAAAAGAUGGUUCUGCUAUCACUCUUGGAUGGACCUGCGGUGCAUUAGCUAGUUGGUAGGGUAACGGCCUACCAAGGCGAUGAUGCAUAGCCGAGUUGAGAGACUGAUCGGCCACAUUGGGACUGAGACACGGCCCAAACUCCUACGGGAGGCAGCAGUAGGGAAUCUUCCACAAUGGACGCAAGUCUGAUGGAGCAACGCCGCGUGAGUGAAGAAGGGUUUCGGCUCGUAAAGCUCUGUUGUUGGUGAAGAAGGACGGGGGUAGUAACUGACCUUUGUUUGACGGUAAUCAAUUAGAAAGUCACGGCUAACUACGUGCCAGCAGCCGCGGUAAUACGUAGGUGGCAAGCGUUGUCCGGAUUUAUUGGGCGUAAAGCGAGUGCAGGCGGUUCGAUAAGUCUGAUGUGAAAGCCUUCGGCUCAACCGGAGAAUUGCAUCAGAAACUGUCGAGCUUGAGUACAGAAGAGGAGAGUGGAACUCCAUGUGUAGCGGUGAAAUGCGUAGAUAUAUGGAAGAACACCGGUGGCGAAGGCGGCUCUCUGGUCUGUUACUGACGCUGAGGCUCGAAAGCAUGGGUAGCGAACAGGAUUAGAUACCCUGGUAGUCCAUGCC
This 781-nucleotide ribosomal RNA is filed under the name uncultured bacterium. RNAcentral's name for it is "bacterial SSU rRNA". It matches the Rfam family "Bacterial small subunit ribosomal RNA", at positions 60 to 801 of the family's 1533-position model. The record is from RNAcentral.